Molecule: long non-coding RNA, 1106 nt
Filed under: Equus caballus (horse)
Lineage: Eukaryota; Metazoa; Chordata; Mammalia; Perissodactyla; Equidae
Description: lncRNA (ENSECAG00000052039.1)
Source: RNAcentral
AGGGCAUCAGUGAUACUUGCCACUCCCUGAUCAGCAAGUCCAAGUAGCAUGACGUCAUCAAUAGGUGGGUCAUAGUGAUGUUCUGUGUCAUGUCAGGAUGAGCAAGGUCCUUGCAGACAUGUAGACAGUGAAUGUAUACUGCUGUUCUUCACAUAUGAAGGCAACCACUAUAGAUUUUCCUUGUUGAUGGGGAUUGAGAAGAAAGCAUUUGCCAGAAUGGGAAGCUUUCCUUUCCACAGGAGAAUCUAAAUAGCUCUCUAAACAGACACCAGCUGGGCAAACAGUGCAGCGAAUUUCGGCGCAAUGUGAUGAGAGCCACCACACCCACAGCCCAGGCCAAGCAGCCUCUCAGCACAGCAGCCAAAUUACAAAGAGCUGCGGAACGGCUCCUUUUGAUCUAACAGCGGGGUGCUUCCAUUUCUUCAGGGAAUGUUCCAUGCAGUCCUGUGGUUAGUCACAAAGCCUGAAGAUGAUAAACGUACUACAGCAUCGGCCAGUGUUUCCCUUCCAGGACCAGAAGUGGACGGAGCCUGAGCAAGCAGAAAAUAAUAAUACAGCUGGCAGCCUGGCAAGGGGCCAUAAUGAAACGCCUCCGAGUAGUCCUUAUUUCUGGAGCAGCCCUCCCUUCCCACCCCGCCUCACUUGCUGUGCUGGUCUGGGCACAGGGAUAGGGCCUUCCAUGUCCCUGUCCAAGGGAAGCCAGGGUAGUUUGCGAUCUUAAACACAGGGAAACACGGAAGUCAGCCUGCUCUGCCUCUGGCUCCCAAGGGGAAUUCCCAGCAGCUGUUUAAUAGAGUGCAUGCCCACCCAACAUUAUAUAAUUGUUCGAGGCGGGAUGAGAUGAGGUGAGAAAAAAUAAAAGAAUGAAUGACUCCUGUGAGAUUGCAGACAGUUGAGUAACCAGGUGGCAUGCUUCCCUUAAGGAAUGUUCUAGUGUGAUUGGGGAGUAAGUGUGAGAAGUGUUGUAGCAUCCUUGUGUUUUAGGGGAAUGAGGACUAGCCAGGGGCUUCUGCUAAGUAGGCAGUUUCCUUUGGGCUGGAGCUGGGACAAGUAUUUCCAGCUCAAAGCACCAGGGGACACUGUGGCAGAAGGAAGGGACAGAAGAG